RNAcentral lists this ribosomal RNA (497 nucleotides) under uncultured bacterium. RNAcentral's name for it is "partial 16S ribosomal RNA". It matches the Rfam family "Bacterial small subunit ribosomal RNA", at positions 28 to 507 of the family's 1533-position model. The record is from RNAcentral.
GACGAACGCUGGCGGCGUGCUUAACACAUGCAAGUCGAACGGAAAGACGAUGCUUUUGCUCCUUUGUCGUUUGGCGAACGCGUGAGUAAAACGCGAGUAACCCGCCCCUAUCUGACUGAGAAAACCACGGAAAUCCGGCGCAAACCCCGUAGAAUAUCCUGCAGCAUGUUGUUGAAUAGUGAAAGACGGCUGUGCUGUCUGUACUCGCUGCUUACCAGCUGCAUUGGCUAGUAGGUAAGGUCAAGGCUUAUCACGGCUACGAUGCGUAGCCGAGCUGAGAGGGGGAUCGGCCACACUGGAACUGAGACACGGUCCAGACUCCUGCGGGAGGCAGCAGUAGGGAAUCUUCCGCAAUGGGCGAAAGCCUGACGGAGCAACGCCGCGUGAGUGAUGAAGGUCUUCGGAGCGUAAAACUCUGUUAUGAGGGAAGAACAAAUGUGUAAGUAACUAUGCACGUCUUGACGGUACCUAAUCAGAAAGCCACGGCUAACUACGUG